Molecule: ribosomal RNA, 440 nt
Filed under: uncultured bacterium
Lineage: Bacteria
Description: partial 16S ribosomal RNA
Rfam family: Bacterial small subunit ribosomal RNA
Source: RNAcentral
CCUACAGGUGGCAGCAGUGGGGAAUAUUGCACAAUGGGGGGAACCCUGAUGCAGCGACGCCGCGUGAGUGAAGAAGUAUUUCGGUAUGUAAAGCUCUAUCAGCAGGGAAGAAAAUGACGGUACCUGACUAAGAAGCCCCGGCUAACUACGUGCCAGCAGCCGCGGUAAUACGUAGGGGGCAAGCGUUAUCCGGAUUUACUGGGUGGAAAGGGAGCGCAGACGGCUGUGCAAGUCUGGAGUGAAAGGCGGGGGCCCAACCCCCGGACUGCUCUGGAAACUGUAAAGCUGGAGUGCAGGAGAGGUAAGCGGAAUUCCUAGUGUAGCGGUGAAAUGCGUAGAUAUUAGGAGGAACACCAGUGGCGAAGGCGGCUUACUGGACUGCAACUGACGUUGAGGCUCGAAAGCGUGGGGAGCAAACAGGAUUAGAUACCCUUGUAGUC